This 274-nucleotide ribosomal RNA is filed under the name uncultured bacterium. RNAcentral describes it as "partial 16S ribosomal RNA". It matches the Rfam family "Bacterial small subunit ribosomal RNA", at positions 523 to 796 of the family's 1533-position model. The record is from RNAcentral.
AUACGGAGGGGGCUAGCGUUGUUCGGAAUUACUGGGCGUAAAGCGCGCGUAGGCGGUUUGCCAAGUCAGGCGUGAAAUCCCCGGGCUCAACCUGGGAACUGCGUUUGAUACUGGCGGGCUAGAGUCCGGGAGAGGGUAGUGGAAUUCCCAGUGUAGAGGUGAAAUUCGUAGAUAUUGGGAAGAACACCAGUGGCGAAGGCGGCUACCUGGACCGGUACUGACGCUGAGGUGCGAAAGCGUGGGGAGCAAACAGGAUUAGAAACCCCAGUAGUCC